GAAAAGUUCAAUUUUGACUUGAAAAUUAUAUUUAAAUUUUUAAUUAUAUGUAAAUUAUAUUUUGAUAAUUAUAAGCAGUAAUUAAUUUUAAUUAUUAAAAAAUUUUAGAAUUAGAAAAAUUUUAUAAUAUUAACAAAAUUUGUGCCAGCAGUUGCGGUUAUACAGAUAAUAUAAUUUAAUUUUAUUAACAUUAAUUAAUUUAUUUAUAAUAAAAUUUAAAUUUAAAAUUUAUUAAGUGGAAUUUUAAAUUUUAAUAAAAAUUUAUUUAUUUAAAUGAGGUUAAGAAAUUUUAUUAAUAGACUAGGAUUAGAUACCCUAUUAUUUGAAAAGUAAAUAUUUUGUUUAAUUAUUAUUAGUUAUUUUCUUUAAAAUUAAAAAAUUUGGCGGUAUUUUAGUCUUUUCAGAGGAACCUGUUUUAUAAAUGAUAAUCCACGAUUAUAUUUACUUUAUUUAUUAGUUUGUAUAUCGUCGUAGUUAAAUAUUUUUUUAGAAUUUUAAUAUUUAAGAUUUUAUAUUAAAAAAUUUUUCAGAUCAAGGUGCAGUUUAUAUUAAAGUUUUUAUGGGUUACAAUAAAUUUAUUUUUAGAUUCUUAUUUUUAAUAAUAAGUUGAAAUUGGAUUUGACAGUAAUUUUAAUUAUUUAAUUAAUUUGAUUUAGCUCUAAGAUAUGUACAUAUCGCCCGUCGCUUUCAUGAUUAUUGGAAUAAGUCGUAACAAAGUAGAUUUACUGGAAAGUGAUUCUAGAUU
Molecule: non-coding RNA, 745 nt
Filed under: Gastrolina thoracica
Lineage: Eukaryota; Metazoa; Arthropoda; Insecta; Coleoptera; Chrysomelidae
Source: RNAcentral